UGGAUGGUUGUGGAAUUCUUAUGAUCUGGGCCAGCUGUCCACAAAAAGGCAACAAAAACACCCAAGAUUUCUCUAUGCCACCUGUCUCCAUAAGAGAGCUGAAGAACUGAACUGUUAACCCAGUGUAAUCAGAAGACUAAAACUUCUUUGGAUUCUGGAGACAAAAAGCAACUUCGCUAUGAGGUCAAAUGACGUGAAAAGACUGAAUGUAUCUAGAAAGAGUGAUUGAUCAAUAGUUUCAUGAAUGGUUAUGCCAAACUAUAUCUGCACUUUUGCUGAAAAGGGAAAUCCCGACAUCUUUUUGUCUCU
This is a long non-coding RNA of Dromaius novaehollandiae (emu), 309 nucleotides long. RefSeq lists it as uncharacterized. The record is from RefSeq and is a predicted model, not a curated record. The transcript has 2 exons. Lineage: Eukaryota; Metazoa; Chordata; Aves; Casuariiformes; Dromaiidae.